This 460-nucleotide ribosomal RNA is filed under the name uncultured bacterium. RNAcentral's name for it is "partial 16S ribosomal RNA". It matches the Rfam family "Bacterial small subunit ribosomal RNA", at positions 338 to 795 of the family's 1533-position model. The record is from RNAcentral.
CCUACGGGUGGCAGCAGUGAGGAAUAUUGGUCAAUGGACGAGAGUCUGAACCAGCCAAGUAGCGUGAAGGAUGACUGCCGUAUGGGUUGUAAACUUCUUUUAUAUGGGAAUAAAAUGUUCCACGUGUGGGAUUUUGUAUGUACCAUAUGAAUAAGGAUCGGCUAACUCCGUGCCAGCAGCCGCGGUAAUACGGAGGAUCCGAGCGUUAUCCGGAUUUAUUGGGUUUAAAGGGAGCGUAGGUGGAUUGUUAAGUCAGUUGUGAAAGUUUGCGGCUCAACCGUAAAAUUGCAGUUGAAACUGGCAGUCUUGAGUACAGUAGAGGUGGGCGGAAUUCGUGGUGUAGCGGUGAAAUGCUUAGAUAUCACGAAGAACUCCGAUUGCGAAGGCAGUUCACUGGACUGCAACUGACACUGAGGCUCGAAAGUGUGGGUAUCAAACAGGUUUAGAUACCCUAGUAGUC